UUCUAAUGCCCCUCAUCUUCAUUCUUUAGGAACUUUGGUUCUUCCAACCUAAUACAAUGGAAAAGAACAAUGCCAAAAAAAAAGAAUUUCAGUUGGAUAUUUAACCCUUAAUUUUUUAAAACAACCAUUCAUUUAGAUAAAUACAACUAUGUGGAUUUUUUUUCUAUUUUAUUAAUGUUUGCCUUAAUCCAUAAGAUCAAAAGUCUAGGAUACAUAUGGCACUAAACAUGUGUUAGGCAACAACCAAACUCCAUGCUAAUUCUAUCAUAAUAACUUGUUCUACAAUAUUUUUUGUAUGAAAAGACAACCUCAUUACUCGAUUAUCCUCUCUCAGUCAUGUUAGAAUAGCAUUUAAAAAUCACAUGAAAAUCUUGAUUUUAAGAGGUAUCCUAGAUUCCCAUUUUUCUUAUGUCACACCAUUAUCAUUACUAUAUUGGUGGUUGUACUUCAACUUAAGAGAGAAAAUUAUGCAUUUCUACAAAUUCAUUUUGGUUUAUCAAGCCAAUUUUUGUAGCUUGAAAAUGUAUUAGCACUCGUGCCAAGGAUGAUCAAUGACAAUCCAAUAGGUAUAAGUGUUUAUACCCAAUGUUUUGAACUAAUGUAUUAGCAAGGAGUCAGGGUUUCUCACUUCCUUUGUUGGGUCAAGCCAAGAAAUUUAGGUAUGGCACGAGCCAUAGCGGGUCAUAAUGGGCCUCCACCACUGUCAUCCUACAACACUACUCUCUUGACGAUCACGUCCUCAUUGAUGUUGUUCGCCUGACGAUCCCGUCUUUGCACGGGUGAACAAUGUACUCUUCUAGAUCCUUAGCACAAUCAUAGUCGAGUUGCAGGACAUCGUCCACAAUUGUGACAAUGCUACUCACUAGGCCUAGGUUGCUAUCGAGGAACAGUUCCUUGGCAACCAUGAGGUCGGUGCCCUCCACCUAAAUAUUGGCUUCCGUAACUUCGUUUAAGGGGACCUCUCCAUCACUAAGUACUGCCACCUAAUGAUGGGCAUGGUGGACUUCCUACAUGACCUCAGCGAGCCUAUUUUGGAUUGUACCCCAUCCUUAAUCUCCUUUGCGGCCUCAAUGAGCUACAAUCACCUAUAGACUUGGAUCACACGAUCCAUGUCGUUUUUUCAUUCCACACUGUUUGCAACUAUCUCAUCCUUGAGGAGCUCACCAAGGGGGGCCAUGUCCCCCUCCGACACCGCCAUGGCCUUCGACAACUCCACCUCUAGUAAGCAACCAUAGUGCUCCACUCCUACUAUUAGUGGUCUGUCCUUGUGCUUGCAUGCACCAUCAACGUCAACAACCCCUUGUCCCCCUAACAACUCUGGUGGUGGUAGCCUCGGUAGCAGAGGGAUGGCCACGGUGGUGGUAGUAGGAAGGGUGACGCACCCUAGCUAUCACUCUAUAACCCAUGGACCGACACAUUUCUUUAUGGCUCGACCCAACGAUGGUUGGUUCGUCGCCAUGCCCAUCGCAAUUGCAGUCAAUCCUCCUCAUUAUGCCCACCUUUGGUAGCCUCGAGUGCCUCCUAGAUCUCCCCUCGCAAGGAUACCCACUUCAGGGCCAAGCUGUUUGUCGGGUAACUCCGUAGAUACCCUUGAUACUUUCCCAUGUGCAAGUGGAUCUUUAGAAUAGCCUCUCCUAGACCGCUCCUCGACGUCUUCACUAUUGAGUUUUUUUUUCCAAAAUAUCAUGGGCCUCGUUAUCUCCAGUACAUGAAGGUAGCCAUACCAUAAAGACAAUUGGUGUGAUCUCGCAAUACUAGAAGCAUAACGUUGAGCUCCACAGGAGUGUCAACAAUGUGAUGAUCAUUAAGAGAAGUACGGUCAAGAAGCCCAUGAAUAUAUUUCUCCUAAGGAAGGUAGAAGCCCUCCGGAGUGGACAAAACCUCAAUCCUAAGAAAAUACCGAAGAGGACCAAGAUUAGACAUAAGAAAUUAGUCACUAAGACAUGCCUUCACAAAGGUAAUAAAUUGAGUUAUUCCCUGUAAUAAUCAUGUUAUCAACAUAAAGAAGAAUAGUCCUACCAUAAGAUGACAUGUGCAUGAACAAAAUAGGAUCAUGAGUACUAGCAAAGAAACCAGUAACCAGUAGUAUUGACCACAGAAGCGAAAACUGAAAUACGCACGAAAUCCGCGCCUAAGGACCACGCCUGAGGACCAGCCGACCAGGAAGUCUCUCCUGCUAGACUGAGACUUGAUCAGCAAUACCAUGACCCGCACACGAAGACCGAGACUAGACCUGCACGAAAGCCACGCCUGAGGAUUAUCCUCAACCUUUUCUUUUUUAAUAAUAUAAUUUGUUUUCUAAAAUACAUGUCAUGUACGGGAACACAUAUGCCAGGCGCAGGAGAGCCCACGACGUGCGCCGGGCGGCUGAGUGAGCAGCAAGGGCGCAGGAGCAGCAGACAAUCAGCUAGGAUGGAAAGUACCUAACUGAUUAGUCAUUUCCCUAUUUUGGUUUAGCUGGGAUGGAAAGUACCUAGCUGAUUAGUCAUUUCCCUAUUUUGAUUAGUCCUACAAUCAAGGAGAACCUUCUCCAUUUUGUAAGGCCACCGGCCAUAUAACCCUGUACGGAGGCACCUUGAGGGGAAGCAAUAAUCAUUACUGUCCAGCCCUCUCUCUCUCUCUCUCUAAGCCGGCGACUGGAAGGUUCACCCAGUCGACGUUGAAGCUCGACGUGGGGGCAUAACCCUGCCGGCAACCAUGGACCAAGGCUACGAGCUACGUAGCUGAGGUCCUCCUGCCUUAGGCACUAAUGCCCAUGACAGCCUGGUAUCGCGAAGCCGACGAUCCUCGUCUUCUUCUCAACCACCCACAUCCACCCCAGCAGCCACCAAUCAGCCCUCCCCACCACCCUCGCCCUCAACCUCCACCGCAUCCUCGGGCCACGCUACCAACAUGUCCGACCCAACCAUGGUCGACCUCAUGGAGCUGAUGAGAUCCUGGAAAACGGAGAUCACGACGGAGAUCAGGGAGAUGAAGGACGAGAUGGCCUCCAUAAAGGCGAAGUCGGCCUCGUCAUCUGACCUGGGAGGCGGCGGUUGCAUGGAGCCUCCUCGUGAGCAGGAUCGGCGCCCAGGUUCCAGACGUUGGACUUUCCCCGUUUCAAUGGCAAGUCUGAUCUGAGGCUCUUUAUCAACAAAUGUGAGUCAUGUUUUCGUCAACAGCGCACCAUGGCCGAGGAGCGCGUUUGGAUGGCGGCCUACAACCUCAAAGGCAUCGCACAAGAAUGGUUCAUGCAACUCUAGGAGGACGACGACACGCCGUCGUGGGGGCGAUUCAAAGAUCUCCUUGAUCUGCGAUUCGGACCGGCGCGGCGCUCGGUGCCCCUCUUCGAGCUGACGGAGUGUCGACGCACCGACACCGUGGAGGAGUACUCCAACCACUUCUAGAGUCUCCUCUUUCGCGCUGGGCGGCUCGACGAAUCCCAACGAGUCCAGCUGUUCACAGACAGUCUGCUUCCACCUCUCAGCCACGCCGUCCGGCUCCACAGUCCGGAGACGCUGGCCGCGGCUAUGGGAGCCUCGCCCGACAAGUGGAGUUGAUGGAACUCGACAAGCUGGCGGCGGCCCUGGCCAAGCCGGCGCAUCGCGCGCCCCCGACCGCCCCGACACAACACCGGGCGUUGGCAGCACCACAGGCGCCCCCGCUGCUCGCGCUAUCGGCACCGCCGGCGAAUGCUGCACCAGCCGCGCGAGAGCGGCAACCUGGUUACCGUCUAUCCAAGGAAGAACAUGAGGAACGCCACCGGCUCGGGCUGUGUUUCAACUGUGAUGAGGCAUACUUCCGCAGCCACAACUGCACCUGUCGCCGCAUCUUCUACGUCGAAGGUGUUGCGCUAGAGACAGACGACGAUGUCAUAGGCGCUGCUGGUCCAGCGGGGGAGCCCCCCAUCUACUCCCUACAUGCAGUGGCCGGGGUACCUACCUUCGACACGCUGUGGGUUCGGGCGCUCCUCGGGACAGCAGAGCUAGUCGCCCUCGACACGGGAUCGACGCACAACUUCAUAGGCGAGCGCGCAGCGUACCGCUCCGGGCUGCACAUCCAGCCGCGCCCACGGCUCGCCGCCACUGUGGCCAACAGGCGAGCGCAUCAUCUGCCCGGGGGUCAUCCGCGACGCGCUAAUCAAGGUGCAUGGUGAGACGUUCCACAUCGACCUUUUCGUCAUGCCUUUGGCAGGUUUCAACCUCGUCCUCGGCACGCAGUGGUUGGGUACCCUCGGGCCCAUCGUCUGGGACGUCGCUGUGCGGACUAUGCAGUUCCAGCGCGCGGGACACGCAGUCUGCUGGACCGGCCUUGCCUCUUCUGAUAGGCCGGCCCUCUGCGCGGCCACGGCGACUCCGACGUCGAUGCAGCCCCAACUGGGCCGGGAGGCCCUCCUCGACGCCCUUCUUUACUCCCUCGGCAACGUCUUCACCGAGCCCCGCGGCCUCCCACCCAAGUGUACCCGUGACCACUGCAUCACCCUCAAGCCGGGAGCGCUGCCGAUGGCGGCCCGUCCGUACCGGUACCCGACAGCACACAAGGACGAGCUCGAGCGGCAGUGCACCGCCAUGAUCGAGCAGGGCAUUGUCCGCCGCAGCGACUCGACGUUCUCCUCACCGGUACUCCUCAUUAAGAAGCCGGACGGCUCCUGGCAUUUCUGCGUCGACUAUAGGGCGCUGAACGCGCUCACCGUCAAGGACGCCUUCCCAAUCCUGGUGGUGGACGAGCGGCUGGACGAGCUCCACGGCGCGAAAUUCUUCACCAAGCUCGACAUGCGAUCGGGCUACCACCAGGUCCGGAUGCGCCCGGAGGACAUCCACAUGACGGCCUUCCGCACCCACGACGGCCUAUACGAGUUCCUGGUGAUGCCGUUCGGGCUGUGCACGCCUCGGUGACGUUCCAGGCUUUGAUGAAUGAUGUGCUGCGACCGUUUCUUUGCCGGUUUGUUCUGGUCUUCUUGACGACAUUUUGAUCUACAGUAAGAGCUGGGGAGAACACCUUCGUCACAUCCGCGCCGUCCUCGAAGAACUUCAGCGCCAUCAGCUGUUCCUCAAGCGCACCAAGUGUGUGUUCGGCGCAACGUUGAUCGGCUACCUCGGCCACGUCAUCUCCGAGGCGGGCGUCGCCAUGGACCCGGCUAAGGUCUAGGCUAUCCGGGACUGGCCCACGCCUCGAUCAGCAUGGGCGGUACGAGGCUUCCUCGGCCUGGCGGGCUACUACCGGAAGUUCGUCCACCACUACCGUACCGUAGCCACGCCAUUAACAACCUUGUUGAAGAAGGACGGGUUCUCGUGGAGCGAGAAAGUCGCAGCGGCAUUUGCAGCACUCAAGGACCGGUCACCUCGGCUCCCUUCCUCGCCAUGCCAUACUUCUCCAAGCUGUUCGUCGUCGCGUGCGAUGUGUCGUCCCACGGUUUCGGUGCAGUGAUGGUCAGGACGGCCACCCCAUCGCUUUUUUCAGUCGGGCUAUCACACCCCGACAUCAGGCGCUGGCGGCCUACGAACGGGAGCCCAUUGGGCUCAUCAUGGCGGUCCGGCACUGGAGGCCAUACCUUUGGGGACGCUGGUUCGUCGUUAAAACCGACCACUACAGCCUCAAGUACCUGCUGGAUCAGUGGCUCGCGACGAUUCCACAACAUCACUGGGUCGACAAGCUCCUAGGCUUCGAUUUCUCCGUCGAGUAUAAGCCCAAGUCGACCAAUGUGGUGGCAGAUGCGCUCUCCCGCCAUGACACGCCAGACGAUGGCCGAUGGGGCUCUCCUGGCCCUCUCAGACCCGCGCUUCGACAUCGUGGAUCGACUUCGUUAGGCGCAGCUCACCGACUCCGCCCUCGUUGUCAUGCAUGACGAGGUGCAGGCCGGCAUCAGGCGCGCGCCUUGGGCGGUGGUCGAUGGGAUGGUCCAGUACGUCAGCCGACCCUACUUACCGCCAUCUUCACCGCUGCUUCAGGAGCUGCUGGCAGUUGUGCACGCCAAAGGCCACGAGGGGUCCAGCGCACGCUGCACCGCCUUCGACGCGACUUUCACUUUCCUAACAUGAAGCAGGUGGUCCAAGAAUAUGUACGAGAGUGCCCUACCUGCCAGCGCCACAAGUUCGAGCAUCUACACCCGGCCGGGCUCCUACUUCCUCUCCCGAUUCCACAGGGAGUCUGGACGGACGUGGCGCUGGACUUCGUCGAAGCCCUGCCCCGAGUACGCAGCAAGUUCGUCAUCUUGACAGUGGUGGACAGGUUCAGCAAGUACUUUCACUUUAUUCCGCUGGCACACCCAUAUUUGGCGGAGUCCGUGGCUCAGGCGUUCUUCGCGAAAAUUGUCCGCCUCCAUGGUGUGUCGUAGUCCAUGGUGUCGGACCGCGACAUCGUGUUCACCUCCAAGUUCUGGCGGGAGCUCAUGCGACUGAUGGGGACCAAUCUCCACAUGACAUCGGCCUUCCACCCUCAGUCGGACGGCCAAUCCGAGUCGGCGAACAGAGUCAUCACCAUGUACCUGAGGUGCCUCACGGGUGAUCGACCACGACAAUGGCUGUAGUGGCUCUCGUGGGCAGAAUACCUCUUCAACACCACCUACCAGAGCUCCCUCCGUGACACGCCAUUCCGGAUCGUCUACGUCUACGGACGCGAUCCUCCAUCCAUGCGAUCCUAUGAGCGGGGGACACACGUGUUGCUGCUGUGGCCAGAACCAUGGAGGAACGCGAGGAGUUCCUCGCUGAUGUGUGCCAUCGUCUGGAGCAGGCCCACGUCGUCCAGAAAAAGUAUUAUGACCAGGGACACCGCGUCGUCACAUAUCAGGUGGGCAAGUGGGUGCUGCUCCGCCUCCGCCACCGGUCCCCUGCCUCCCUCAACACCGACACCACCAGCAAGCUAAAGCCUAGGUUCUAUGGGCCGUACAGAGUGCUGGAGAUCAUCAACGAGGUCGCUGUCCGCCUCAAGCUACCGGCACGAGCCCAUAUCCACGAUGUGUUUCAUGUGGGCGUCCUCAAGAAGUACCACGACACACCUCCACAAGCUACGUCGCCACUGCCCCCGCUUCACCAUGGGGCCGUCACCUUGGAGCCAGCCCGCACCGACAACACCAAGCUCGCCCGUGGAGUGCGCCAGGUACUUAUUCAGUGGAAGGACCAGUCCCCAGCAUCAGCGACUUGGGAGGACGUCGACACCUUCAGCGCCAAGUUCCCCACAUUCCAGCUCGAGGACGAGUUGCCUCUCGAGGAGAGGAGAGAUGUCAUGUACGACACACAUAUGCCAGGCACAGGAGAGCCCGCGACGUGCGACGGGCGGCAGAGCGAGCAGCAAGGGCACAGGAGCAGCAGGCAAUCAGCUAUGAUGGAAAGUACCUAUCUGAUUAGUCAUUUCGCUAUUUUGAAUUGGCUAGGAUGGUGCAGCGGUAUAGCCUACCGUCUGUAUCCGGAAGGUCUUGGGUUCGAGCCCCAGCCUCUGCAUAUUAUGCGGGUAAGGCUUGGCGCUUAAAGAUACCCUUCCCCAGACCCCGCACAGUGCGGGAAGCCUACGACACUGGGUACGUCCUUUUUAGGAUGGAAAGUACCUAGCUGAUUAGUCAUUUCCCUAUUUUAGUUUAGCUAGGAUGGAAAGUACCUAGCUGAUUAGUCAUUUCCCUAUUUUGAUUAGUCCUACAAUCAUGGAGAACCUUCUCCAUUUUGUAAGGCCACCGGCCAUAUAACCCUGUACGGAGGCACUUUGAGGGGAAGCGAUAAUCAUUACUGUCCAGCCCUCUCUCUCUCUAAGCCGGCGACUGGAAGUUUCACCCAGUCAUCGUUGAAGCUCGACGUGGGGGUAUAACCCUGCCGGUAACCACGGACCAAGGCUACGAGCUACGUAGCCGAGGUCCUCCUGCCUUGGACACUAACGCACUUGACAAUACAUGAUUUAGGAUUUAAUUGUUGGAGCUCAAUUUUUUUAGUGCUCUCAAUACUAUAAUGUAGUAUUUUGAUUUUUGGGGCACUAUUUUAAUGAACCUUGUUGGAGAUGCUAGCCACGCAUGCAGUCAGCUGCCAUGCAGGUUUCUCAUCUCAGUCACGCAUGCAGCAGAGGCGCAAUCACAUAUUGGAGAAGCUUCAGUCAAGUCUAUAAUUUAGGAUAUUUCUAUCUAGUUGUUAGUGGCCAGGAGCCAUUUUAUCCACUCGCACUCGGUUUGGAUUAAGCAAAAGAGUUUACUCUCCAAUCUCCCUUCUUUCUAAUCUCCCCCAUUCAUCAUAGGGCGUCAAGGGAAGCUGCCCCCAUACUCUGACGUCCUUGACACUGCAAAAAUAUAUAUAACACAAUUUAGCACAUAUUCCCUCUGUUCCGAAAUAAAAUGUGUUUUAGAGAAUUAGUGGAUUCAUAUAAUAUUUAAUGUAUAUUUUUUGUACAUAUAUAUAGAUUCAUCAUCAUCCAUUUGAAUGUAGACAUAAAAAACAAAAACAAAAACGACUACUACUUUAGGAUGAAGAGAGUAUUUUUUUUGUUUAGAAUACUAAUUAUGUGAUCAAAACAUAGUAAAAAAGGAUGCAAAAAUUUAUAAAUGUUUAGAGUGUGUACCUAGAUGGGCUGGCACCACUGUUUCGCUGCCGGCCCAUAUGCAAUACAACAAGCCUUUCGUUAAAUUCUAAUUUCAAUUUAUCGCAUCCAAUCUAUUUGAUGCAUUUUGUGAUCUAUCAUCGAUCCAUGUUUUAAAAUGAGAAAAUUACAAGUUUUUGAAUAUGCAUAGAUAUAGGUUAAGAAUUUGUGUGUUUCACAAUAAAUGAGCAGUAUACUAAGUUCUGACAUAAUUCUAAUAAAGUUUAUUUAUUUGUCUCGUUUUUUCAGUGCGCAGAAAACGAUUGAACGUUAUAGAACAUACACAAAGGAUAAUGUCAGCAACAAGACAGUGCAGCAGGAUAUUGAGGUAACUUGGUUAUAUUUCCUGUUACCAAUUUCAAUUCUUGAAUGUCGAUUUUAUCAAGAGAUUGUGUCUAUCCUGUGGAUAUAUAUUCCUUAAGAUAACUAGCAUUGAUGGGCCUAUGUUGCCAACAGUAUGAUAAAAUUUCUAGUGGAUGUCCAUCAUUUCCCAGCUGAUGAUUCUUGUACUGAAAUCUGAAGCAUAAAACUAUACUGGAGAGAGGCUUUGGCAGGGUACAACUGAUGUAGAGCUGAAUAUUUUAAAAGGACAUGUGACGUCGAUAUAUACAGCUGAAUAUUUUAAAAGGACAUGCAACGGUAGAUUUUUUUAGAAGCUUCGUUCAUUUCAAAACUUAAAGAAAAAUAUGUGAAUGUAUAGGUGAUAUACCAUUUGGUAGUUUUGAUGUAGUAGUAGUGAUACUAAGAUUGUCUGGUCCGGACCUAAACUGCAGCGAGUAAAAGCUGAUGCGGAUGGCCUGUCAAAGAGACUCGAAGCACUUGAAGCUUACAAAAGGCAAUUACCUAGCUAUCAAAUACUGAUAUCCUUAUGUACCUGCCCACGGACUAAUCUGCGUUGAGGCGGUGCAGGAAACUUUUGGGUGAGAGGUUGGAAGACUGCUCCAUUGAAGAGCUGCACAGUUUGGAAGUCAAGCUUGAGAAGAGCCUGCAUUGCAUCAGGGGAAGAAAGGUUAGCUAUUUUCUCCUGGUGGUCGUUUUUAAUUUUACAGCCUAUAAUGGGGUUUUUAACAUAACAAAUGAAUUAAAGCUGCAUCCAUAUGCGCAUGCACAAGCAGCUCACGACUUCAUAUCUUCUGAUCUUGCAUGGCAGACUGAGCUGCUGGAGGAGCAAGUCCGUAAGCUGAAGCAGAAGGUAAGCACCAGCUUCCUGUCCAUACACCUAGCGACAUAGCUAGAAGCAUCAGAAAUACACGGUUCCUAACUUGUGCUUCGUUUUAUGUUCACAUCUGUGUGUCGCGUCAACGUCAAACAGGAGAUGAGUCUGCGCAAGAGCAACGAAGAUUUGCGUGAAAAGGUAAUGGUGCCGAAACAUCUUACAGCCAUGAGGACCACAAGACGCUGCACGCUUUGAUUAUACUGCUUACCUCGACAUCUUAUGUGCAUAUACAGUCAUGCAUGGAUUUCUCUCACCAAUUCGCGUGCUGCGUGCAUCUGAUGGAAACCAUGUCUGCAGUGCA
RNAcentral lists this long non-coding RNA (10046 nucleotides) under Zea mays. RNAcentral describes it as "long non-coding RNA (ZMAY_LNC005706)". Lineage: Eukaryota; Viridiplantae; Streptophyta; Magnoliopsida; Poales; Poaceae. The record is from RNAcentral.